UGUGGGAGCGGGCUUGCUCGCGAAUGCGGCGUGUCAGCCUCCGAGUCUUGGACUGACCCACCGCAUUCGCGAGCAAGCCCGCUCCCACA
This 89-nucleotide non-coding RNA is filed under the name Pseudomonas sp. NFR02. Lineage: Bacteria; Pseudomonadati; Pseudomonadota; Gammaproteobacteria; Pseudomonadales; Pseudomonadaceae. The record is from RNAcentral.